GUGUCAGCAGCCGCGGUAAUACGUAGGCAGCAAGCGUUGUUCGGAGUUACUGGGCGUAAAGGGUGUGUAGGCGGUUCCCUAAGUUUGGUGUGAAAUCUCCCGGCUCAACUGGGAGGGUGCGCCGAAAACUGGGGGGCUAGAGUACUGGAUGGGAGAGUGGAAUUCCUGGUGUAGCGGUGAAAUGCGUAGAUAUCAGGAGGAACACCUGUGGUGUAGACGGCUCUCUGGACAGUAACUGACGCUGAGACACGAAAGCGUGGGUAGCAAACAGGAUUAGAUACCCCCGUAGUCC
RNAcentral lists this ribosomal RNA (292 nucleotides) under uncultured bacterium. Its description in RNAcentral is "partial 16S ribosomal RNA". It matches the Rfam family "Bacterial small subunit ribosomal RNA", at positions 505 to 796 of the family's 1533-position model. The record is from RNAcentral.